Molecule: ribosomal RNA, 335 nt
Filed under: uncultured soil bacterium
Lineage: Bacteria
Description: bacterial SSU rRNA
Rfam family: Bacterial small subunit ribosomal RNA
Source: RNAcentral
AGAACGAACGUUAGCGGCGCGCUUAACACAUGCAAGUCGAGCGAGAAAGGGAGCAAUCCCCGGUACAGCGGCGCACGGGUGAGUAACACGUAGGUAACCUACCUCCGAGUGGUGGAUAACCUUCCGAAAGGAGGGCUAAUACAGCAUGAGCCCACGACCCCGAGAGGGGAUGGGGGAAAAGCCGGCCUCUUCGACGAAAGCUGGCGCUUGGAGACGGGCCUGCGCCAUCAGCUAGUUGGUGAGGUAUGGCUCACCGAAGGCAAAGCGGUAGCUGGCCUGAGAGGAUGAUCAGCCACACGUGGAACUGACGACACGGUCCAGGACUCCGACGGGAG